Molecule: long non-coding RNA, 162 nt
Organism: Thalassophryne amazonica
Lineage: Eukaryota; Metazoa; Chordata; Actinopteri; Batrachoidiformes; Batrachoididae
Exons: 3
Source: RefSeq, a predicted model, not a curated record
UACUUCUUUUUUUACUGUGCUAACAUGAAAAAAACGGGCCAUCUUCACAAAGCUUAUUGUCUCACCGCUAAAUGGACCUCAAGGUUUUGUUUUUCGUGUCUCUUCUAAAAUCGUUCGAUAAGGCUGAGAACAGCUUUUACAGAAAAAAAAUUACAAAGAUUA